Molecule: long non-coding RNA, 573 nt
Filed under: Carica papaya (papaya)
Lineage: Eukaryota; Viridiplantae; Streptophyta; Magnoliopsida; Brassicales; Caricaceae
Description: long non-coding RNA (CPAP_LNC003530)
Source: RNAcentral
UAAAAUUUCAUACGAACUCGCUUCUUUUGUCGCUCUGGUUCUCUUCUUCGUACACACUCUCCCUCUUUUGUCGCUCACAUAUCGUAAAGCACGCCGCAGGCUAUACCGAGAACCUGCCAGCGUAAGUAAGACAGCCACUAUUCGCAGGUUUGCUAUAAUAAGUAAUUAUACAAAAUCAUUAAAAUAAAAAUUGAAUUUUCAUCAUUUACAGGAUCUUCUUCCUUUUGAUAGCGACGCGAGAAAAAAGACGAACAUACCCAAACUCAGGAAAUAUAAUGUGAUACACAAGAAGAAAGAGAUACCUUAUAAAACACAGCAGCUCAUAGUACCAAACGACUGUAUAAUAGACCAGUUCAAAUAUCCUGAUUACCAAUUCAGUAAAUGCAACCUUAUUAGAAACAUUAAAAAAAUAAAAAAAAAAAUCGCUAACCAAGUACUCCUGCAACCGAAGAAGAUGAGUUUCCGCCAUCACUAGUAUCUGCCUUCAAAUCGAACCACAAAUCUUUUUCACUAAAGUAAUCAUAGAGCAUAUCUCUUUGUAGCUCCAAAUGAAACCUUUUUAAAACUUAAUGU